This 235-nucleotide unclassified non-coding RNA is filed under the name Hevea brasiliensis (rubber tree). Lineage: Eukaryota; Viridiplantae; Streptophyta; Magnoliopsida; Malpighiales; Euphorbiaceae. The record is from RNAcentral.
AUUUUCUUUUCCACAUUACUUUUCACAGCAAAAUACUCGACGCUCGACCAUUGAGUUAUCAAUACAACGAUGAAUAUAAUGAUAGUUCAGUAUAUGUACAACCUCGUGAGCAAAGUGGACUGAAAAUGCUACUUGAUUCUCAAAACCAUGUGAGAGACUCUGUAUUUAAAAAACCAAUAUAUGUGGGAAUGCUCGUGAUUUACAAUCCAGUAAAAGAAAGUUCAUUUAGAAUGCC